CCUACGGGAGGCAGCAGUGGGGAAUAUUGGGCAAUGGGCGCAAGCCUGACCCAGCAACGCCGCGUGAAGGAAGAAGGCUUUCGGGUUGUAAACUUCUUUUCUCAGGGACGAAGCAAGUGACGGUACCUGAGGAAUAAGCCACUGCUAACUACGUGCCAGCUGCCGCGGUAAUACGUCGGUGGCAAGCGUUAUCCGGAUUUACUGGGUGUAAAGGGCGUGUAGGCGGGGACGCAAGUCAGAUGUGAAAACCACGGGCUCAAACUGUGGCCUGUAUUUGAAACUGUGUUUCUUGAGAACUGGAGAGGCAGACGGAAUUCCUAGUGUAGCGGUGAAAUGCGUAGAUAUUAGGAGGAACACCAGUGGCGAAGGCGGUCUGCUGGACAGCAACUGACGCUGAGGCGCGAAAGCGUGGGGAGCAAACAGGAUUAGAUACCCCUGUAGUC
This 443-nucleotide ribosomal RNA is filed under the name uncultured bacterium. RNAcentral's name for it is "partial 16S ribosomal RNA". It matches the Rfam family "Bacterial small subunit ribosomal RNA", at positions 338 to 795 of the family's 1533-position model. The record is from RNAcentral.